GCUGUGGGAGAAUAGAUGUGUACCUAAAAUCUCCAAGAUAACCACGGUCAGAGAAUAACUCAAAGAGAGUGAGGGAACGGCUGGAUGAUUCGUGAUGCGUUACGAGACAGACGUUGCGCAUCCGUACUCGUAAGGGGGGAGCCGAUUUGAUGAGACUCACUGGAUGAAUGAAAGUACGAGAUGAUGUAUAAAUAAACACAUGUUCGUGAUGAUACUGGGAGGAAGACGAACUGGCGCAGGAAUGCCAUGUGAUGUUGCAUUAGAUUCGCAAGAGGUCAAUCUAGUCCCCGGGAGGCUACAAGCAUUAUAUGCUAACCACCGUUCGUUCUAAUCUAUUUGGCGGAUUGUUCCAUUGCAAGCAAUAUGCGGCGUAUUCCUUCUUUCGGGUCGGGGAAACACAGCAAUAGGAAUUUGGAACACCAAGAAUGGCGAGGCAAGAACUAUACAUAGCAGUUUCCUGUUUCUUCUUCCUUGAGGUAGGCUGCAGAUUGAUUUCGGAAUUCCGAGUUUGUAAUGGAUUUGAUCAGAUGAGGCGCGGUUUUACACUCGUGGAUAUAAACAAGAGAAGCUACCGAUUGGGCUCGCGUACGUGCAUCAAAGACUCGAUCGGCCGGACGGGUGCUUCAAAAACUCGAGAGGGGUUUGGGAUAAAGGUACCCGCUCACGAUGGCGUGCGGCAACGAUCCGUCGCAGGCAACAAGUGAGAUGUGCCGGACGAGGCGGCUGGCGGGGUGCCCGUUGAUGAUUCCGGGCAGGGGACGAGCAACGUCGUGAUCUAGAACAGCCUGCUAGAACCAGGACCUCCACACUAGAACGCAACUCGACGGGCGACAAACGUAGCGGUGAGCCGUAGGCAGCCCUCGUCGGCGGAGCACUCGCCGCCAACGGGCAGACGGCUAGCGGCGGUUCUGGGUCUCAGAGCGGAAGCCCGGGACGGUGACACCGAGAGAGAGAGAGAGAGAGAGAGAGAGAGAGAGAGAGAGAGAGGGUAACGCAAAAUGACUUUUACUUAUUCUCUCUCCUCCUGCUCAUUGAAACGGAUCACGGAUCCAUUGAUUCGUCCAAAUCUUGCUGCUUACGAGAGUAUUACGGGAGCUCGACUAUCUAUCGAGAGAUUAAGGAGCCUGUCGUCGGAUGUAUCCUAAUCUGGGUAGGACCUGAUAAUCUAUGACCGCUUCGAAUGAUUCCAUGCGGCGAUCCGACGCAUCAUUUGGGCUGAUUGCUCUCAUCUGUCUGUAAAGAUUUGCUCGGGAAGUAAUGGAGUAAUUCGGACGUAUAAUAAAU
This 1284-nucleotide long non-coding RNA is filed under the name Spirodela polyrhiza (greater duckweed). RNAcentral's name for it is "long non-coding RNA (SPOL_LNC000313)". The record is from RNAcentral. Lineage: Eukaryota; Viridiplantae; Streptophyta; Magnoliopsida; Alismatales; Araceae.